UAAGAGAGUCAAGGAUGGGAAGAAACAGG
RNAcentral lists this non-coding RNA (29 nucleotides) under Homo sapiens (human). Lineage: Eukaryota; Metazoa; Chordata; Mammalia; Primates; Hominidae. The record is from RNAcentral.